GGCUCAGAUUGAACGCUGGCGGCAUGCUUUACACAUGCAAGUCGGACGGCAGCACAGAGAAGCUUGCUUCUUGGGUGGCGAGUGGCGAACGGGUGAGUAACAUAUCGGAACGUACCGAGCAGUGGGGGAUAACUAAUCGAAAGAUUAGCUAAUACCGCAUAUAUUCUGAGGAAGAAAGCAGGGGACCAUUUGGCCUUGCGCUGUUUGAGCGGCCGAUAUCUGAUUAGCUAGUUGGUGGGGUAAAGGCCUACCAAGGCGACGAUCAGUAGCGGGUCUGAGAGGAUGAUCCGCCACACUGGGACUGAGACACGGCCCAGACUCCUACGGGAGGCAGCAGUGGGGAAUUUUGGACAAUGGGCGCAAGCCUGAUCCAGCCAUGCCGCGUGUCUGAAGAAGGCCUUCGGGUUGUAAAGGACUUUUGUCAGGGAAGAAAAGGGCGGGGUUAAUACCCCUGUCUGAUGACGGUACCUUUGUUAAGAAGCACCGGCUAACUAC
This 495-nucleotide ribosomal RNA is filed under the name uncultured bacterium. Its description in RNAcentral is "bacterial SSU rRNA". It matches the Rfam family "Bacterial small subunit ribosomal RNA", at positions 21 to 504 of the family's 1533-position model. The record is from RNAcentral.